This 13916-nucleotide long non-coding RNA is filed under the name Coffea arabica (coffee). Its description in RNAcentral is "long non-coding RNA (CARA_LNC002697)". The record is from RNAcentral. Lineage: Eukaryota; Viridiplantae; Streptophyta; Magnoliopsida; Gentianales; Rubiaceae.
CACAGCAUCCCCUGCUAGGCCACUUGGAUUGCUACUACUUGCAUCAUCAACAUUUUUCCAACCGAAGAAAUCAGUGCCGAUGCAAUUUACACUUUUCAUUCCAAUUAUGUUGACAAUAUUGAGGUGAGGGAGGUGCCCAAGUGGUGGAAUUUGCUGACACUUGUUGAAGUUCCUCAGCACGAUCUUCACAAGAUUGCGAAACACCAAAGGAUGGCUUGUGGUCAGCAUCCACGAUGGAAGGCUUCGGCCCAUAAAGUUUUCCAUUGUGAAACCUUUCAAAUUUGGGUGAGGUUCAAGACCUUUCAAGACAUCCUCAUCAGUGGAUUCGUCUCUGGUCCUAGUAUCCCAGUGAAGUUCCAAACUAUCAAGGUUUAUCUUUGUGGAUAUUUUUGCUUUGAUUGCUUCCUCUUGGUUGCUAACAUUCUGGAGAUCAAAGAUCUUGAGGUCGCCCCUGAGAUUGUGCAAAUGCCCCAACUGAUCAAUUUGACAUCCCUUAUCUUGACUUACAUAGAAGAAAGGCAACGUCUGAAGAGAGCUCAGCUGUCCUAUAUCAGGAAGCAAACAUGGCUUGCCGUUGAUGAUUCCAUCUUUUUCAAUGCACAAAUGCCUCAGGUUAACCAAAUUUCCAAAAUUUUUGGGAAGCUGUUGCAGAUUACUAAGCCUCAUUGUUUGCAAAUUGUACAACUGUGUGAUGGGAUUUGGGAGUUCUGUUAUUGAAGUCCUGGAGAUGUCAAGAUAUCUUAAAAGCUUUAACUUUCCAAUCGUGGCUGGCAAUUCCUUAACUUCUUCAUCAACAAGAAAUAAGACUCGAAGGCUUUUACAAACGAUCGGCAAACCAUGUGCAAGGUUCAAAAUCAAAGUUCGCAGCUUUAAAAGACUUUCCCUACCGGUUAUAAGUUCAGCCGAGGGAAACAAGAAAAUGGACUCUUUGGCUACUUCUUGAACAAAGUCAUACACAAGAUCGUGAAUAGUGAAUUUUAUAGUUCUUCCAAACCCAUCCUUCUCGUAAACUUGCAACAAAGAAGUCCGGAACAAAAUACUCAUGUAGUUACUUCCAACAUCCUCCAUUUCCAGGUGACUUCCCUUGGAAGGAUUAAGCAAUCCCUGUGCCAUCCAAAGUUGUAUCAUGAUUUCCACUGAUAUAAAGCCACCGUUUCCCAUUAUAAUACAACAUAAAAGACAUUGUUUCAACGACAAUGAAGGCAAAUGAUCGUAGCUUAACUUUAUAGCGGAUCUGACUCUACUUCCAGCUUCUUCCAUUGCAGUCCAGGUUUCACUAUGUUCUAUUUUUGACCACUCACGUUCAUCCUUUUUGGAGUACAACAAACCUCCUAUUGCCUUUACUGCCAAUGGCACACCACCGCACUUAGCAACAAUUUUUCUUCCUAUAUUUAUCAAUUCAGGAGUCUUUAUUGCUGCACAACCGUGACCAAAUGCUAUUUUCUCAAACAAUUCCCAGCUAUCACCAUCAGAAAGUGUUCCCAAUUGACAAGGAAAAGAUGCUUGCAUGAUUGAAACAACUGCCUCGUUUCGAGUUGUCAUGAUUAUCCUACUUUCGUCCGAUCCACCUAUCCCUCGCAGACACUUCCUCAUUCUAUCCCAUUUCUCUGCAUCUUCAUUCCAAACAUCAUCCAGUACAAGCAAGAAUCUUUUGGUUUUAAGUACCUCGUUAAGCUUUCCUACAAUUGCCUCUGCAACUGUCAGAUUAGGGUUGGUUCCUGUAAGAGACUCUACCAUCUUAUUUAAGAGUCUUUCAACAUUGAAAUCUUCUGACACGUGGAUCCACAAUUUAUGAUCAAAAUGCCUCAGCACCUUUUCAUUUUUGUAGACUAGCUGAGCAAUCGUUGUCUUGCCCAAACCAGCCAUCCCAACUACACCAAUAACUGAUAAGUUAUUACCAUCCUUCUCUGAAGAAGUUAACAAGUUUACAACCUUGUUCAAUUCCUCACUCCUUCCCACAAUACUGGAAUCAUCAACAAAAGGAUCAAUAGUACUAGAUCGAUCACUUCUGGGAUCGUUAGACAUGUUAACUAACUCAACAGGCCUAAGUCCAAUCCUUUCCGCUUCCUGAUAAACUUUCUUUAUACUCAAGUUCAUGUUCUUAAUCUUGUGAGCAAAUUUGAAACGGAAUGCGAGCGGAUAUGAACCAGAAAAGAAGCUACGAACCUGGUCUUGCAUGCGCUUCUUCAACUUUUUGCGAAGAACUUCAUAUGCAAACUCGUCCAGCAAGUACUCAGCCUCGGACGACACAUCCUGGAGCCUUCUAAGCCAAAGAUCAACGGCGUUGCUUCUGUUAUUUUUGCAUUCAGCAUCAAGAAGCAAAGCUUGAAUCAUCUCCAGAUCUCGAGCUAAACUUUCAAGAUCUUCCUUGACACCCCACACUAUGUCGAUCUCUUCAGCCACAAGUGAAAUUAACUUACUCCGAACUCCCUCUAUAACAAUAUUAAGCAAAACAUCAGCCAUCUCACUUUUGUAUUCCUACGAGAGGAAGAAUUGCUCGCUAAUCUGUGUGAUAUUAGCAAAGAACAAAGAAGUCAACGGCCCUUUGAGGAGGGGGACUGAAAGAAGUAAAUGAAAUGGCGACAGAGUGUAGUUGAACCAUGUGAAAAAUAGUGAAGUAAAGAAGGGGAAGAGAUAAACUCAAAGAAACCUUAUCCAUCGGCUGACGUGUUGCCAAACUAACGUCCACGAAAUUAUUGUCCACGCACGCACGGACCACAUAUAAGCCGGUGGUCCCUUGUAAUUGUCACAUUAUUAGGUAUGAAAAGGUUAUCUUUUUUUUUUGGGAUAAUUUCAGAAACCUCCCCUGAGGUUUCUGACAGUCUCAAGGACCUCCCCUGAAGUUCCGAAAAUCCCUUAUACCUCCCCUGUCAGAUUGUUGGGUCCCAAAAUGACUUGAAAAACGUUGAAUUGACACAAAUAUCCCUGCUGUUGAAGUAAUAUAUUCUGAUAAUAACAUGAAUUAAUUAGUGAAAUGAGUAAUAGAAAGGAUUAAGUAACUUAACUGGAAUUUGAUAAUAAAAUGAAUUGCUAAUUUGGGCUAAGAGAAAAGGCGCCAAAAAUUGCAUCAAACUAAAAGGGAUAUUUAAUAUUCAAUAAAAAAAGAAUCCAAAAAAUUUCUUUUAUUUUAUAGAGGAAUAAAAAGGAUAGUUAAUAGAGGAAAAAAGAAUUAUUCCUUUUUAUUCCGUUCCUAUUCUACUUUUUCAUAAAAGGGAAUUUUAACCAAAAUCAAACUAAAAGAUUAUUUCGUUCUUGAUAGUUAUUUAAUUAAUUGUUGGAUGGGAACAUACUCUGGAUCGGAAUCUUGGGGAAUACUUCUUGAUCAUUUCUACCAACUUAAAGCCCCAAUUUGAAUUCCCUUUAUAUACGGAAAUAUCCCUUUGGAAAUAUCCCUUUAUUUAUCGGAUAAAAUAAAUUUAAACCCAUUGUUGAAUAAAAGACCAGCUCUUUAUGGCUUUCGUCCAUUAUACUUACAGAGUACCCAUUUUCCUUCAAUGCGAGGUCAUGUACCUUGCAUUUAACAAAUGCAAGGUCAUGUACCUCAGUUUCCCAUCAUUGUUUCGUAUGAUGCUUCCAUAUUUUGGCAUGAUUUUUCCUUUUGCUUCAGCUGUAAUGCCAUGUACUCAAUAUAAAUGAUUUAACUGCAAAUUAUAAAAUGAUUUACAAUUUGCAAUGAAAGCGUCUACAAAUUUUAGCAGUUAAGGCUCUAAAUUCAUUAGAACUGGAAAAAUUUUUUAUUUUAAUUCAAUAAAUUUAUUUUAUUUUAUUUUAAUUUCGGCAUUCAAUGGGUUUAAAUUUAUUUUAUCCGAUAAAUAAAUUUCUAUUUAAGGCACCUUGGGUAUUCUGUGAGUAUAAUGGACGAAAGGCAUAAAGAGCUGGUCUUUUAUUCAACAACGAAUUUUAGCAGUGAAGAAACCUCAGUCACAACCCAACAACAUUCACUGGUUUCUCUUGCAACUUCAGUAGGCAAUUAUAUAGAGCUCCAAAGCAACACUACUGUUUCUUAUUACCGUUACAAAGAACUACUUUGAGAGCCGUUGGCAUGAACUAGAAGACAAUUUCUUGCAAUACAGCCUUACCUUUUUCCAUCAGUUUCACAUACACCCCCCGCAAUUUCAAAGGAACUAGAUUCCAUUGAAAUUUUCAACAUAAACAUCCUCACUAAUGACAAUCUUGAGGGCAGAGAUGGAAUUUGAUUAUUUUCUCUCUCCUGAAACACAUUUUAUAUUCAUUGUCCACCUCAAUUGGGUUGGACCUGAAACUAUCUACUUAGUUUUAGGGGAGGUAUAAGGGAUUUUCGGAACUUCAGGGGAGGUCCUUGAGACUGUCAGAAACCUCAGGGGAGGUUUCUGAAAUUAUCCCUUUUUUUUUUUGGGAUAAUUGCAGAAACCUCUCUUGAGAUUUCUGAUAUUUGCACUGAUCUCCCCUCUAGAUUUAGAAAUUGCAUUCACCUCCCAUGAACAGUAAUAAUUCGUUGCAGAAACCUCCUUGACAGCUUUUGUAGAGGUGAGAUAAGAAUUUUCUUCCAAUUUUGCCCUUACUUGCUUGACAAUUAUUAUUUGCUUGACAAUUGCUUAACUAAUUAUCUAAUUAGUUAAUAGUUAAACUAAUUAACUAUUAACUAAUUAUUUAAUUAACUAAUUAUCUAAUUAACCAAUUAACUAAAGCUGUUGUCUGUCCGAAACUAACAAACUAUUUGCAUGUUAAACUAAUUAACUAAUUAACUGCUUAACUAAUUAACUAACUAACUAAUUAACAAACUAUUUGCAUGUUAAACUAUAUGCAGUAUGCAUUACCUAUUUAAAGUAUCAGCUCUUUAUAAGUAUUUUACUUUCAAACAUUUAAUUUAUGAUAAAAACAUCAAUAUUUGUAUGUAAAAUUCAAAAAGUGAUACAGUAAUAUUGCUGUCCUGGUUGUAAUAUAGCAAGAAAGUUUAGCAUAAGGCUUAAGUUCUUCCCAAAAUGUUAUUUCUACUUAUGUUUGAGGUAGAAAUAUUGUGGGAGGUCCUUGUGGUUCAAUAUGUUCGCAUGAAUUUUCGCUUAUCUGGUCAAAUUUUAUAUUAUGGUAUGUUGUAAGGUUUUACUUAAUCAGUCUACAAACUUAUGUUAAUAGAAAAUUUGAAAUGACUGAUUAUAUGCAAAUAGUUUCAAGUAGCACUGUUCAACUCCCUAACUAAUCAUGCUAUAAGUACAUCAAAGUGAAUAUCGAACCUUCUAAAGUAGAAUCUUUCGUAAAAGUACUUGUUAAGCGCUUAACAGUAUUAUUUGACUUCAAAGUUCAAACUUGCAAAAUUGCCUUUUAUACUUAAUAAUGUGAAAAUUUUGAUUUCUGAAUUGUGUUUAACUUCACAUAGAGCUCAUAUUUUGUGACAAAACAAAUUAAUUUUUUUUUUUUGAGUUUUUGCAAUAUAAAUGUUACCCUACAAGUGUUAAUUUUGAAACAGCGCUAAAGCCUGAUGCUGCGCAUCAAGUUGCCCUGAUUAAUUGUAGUAUUUGCGCUGAUGCAUUGUGCAAUUGGCGAUAAUGCAAUCACACACAUGCUCCUAAAGGAGAAGAAGAAAGUGGGCCGCUAAGGCAACAGAGGGAGAAAAAGUACACAAGAAAGCGGGUACCUUCUCCUUUUUAGGCAAAGGUAACUAAUUUCGAUACAAAAAUGUACAAAAAUAUAAUGGGAUAAGAGGACCACUCACAAAGAAGCUGAGGCGUAAUUACCAAUAACCAAGUUCAGUUCUUUUCUUUGUUGAAGGGCCAAGACUUAAAUAGACAUAAUUUUUAAAGAUUUGCUGGUUCAAAUUGUGUCACAUCAUUUUGAAAAUCGAGUCUAUCGAUCAUCUACGAGAAUGAUUGAAGAAUGAUCUCAAUAGAUAAACUCAAAGAAAUCUUAUCCAACGGCUGAAAUGUUGCCAAAAUAUCAUUAGGACUUUUUAGUAAUUAUUAUUGCACAGGUUCGGCACCUGUCAAUUGAACUGAAUCUUUGAAUGACUUCUAUGCACUUAGGUUAGGAUUUUAUUUUUUUCUUCUUUUUUAGGCAACUUAAAUAGGAUUUAAUCUAAGCUUUAACCCAAAGAACCUCUCUCCGGCUGCAUUAGGUACAUUAGGCAGCUUAGAAAAACUAAGAGUAGAACAUUAUAUGAACUAUAAACCUAACAUUGGAUAAAAAAAAAAAAGUAAACCUAACAUUGGAAAAGGAAAGAAUUAAUUGGAAGAGGGGAAGAAGGGGGGGGGGGACUUUGUGGCUUUUUUUUUUUUGAAAAAAAUUUUGACCAAAAUCUAGAUAUUUGUCAUGUAUUUAGUGGGGAAAAAAGAAACCAAUGAUGCUAGGUAUUUGGAGGUAUUCAAGAAAAAUUUUUGCCAAAUUUAUUUCCUUGUUAAUUUGUCAAUCAAUAAUUUGGUUUUUUUUUUUGCAAAAAAAAUGAAUCAUAAACACUUUUUUUUUUUUAAUCAUCUUUCUGUUAGGUUUUUUUUUUUUUUUUUUGUUUCACAUACAUUACAUCACAAAGAACAUUAUAGUUUUUCUGAUUUUUUUCACAAAUAAUCUUCUAUACAAACAAACCCAAAUCUUUUUAUUCUUCUUAUUGCUCCUCAUUUUUUUUGGUGCCUUGAAAAUGUUUGUGAUGAUUUGAAAGAUAAGUACAAAGAAAUAAAAUUAGCAAAAUGAACCAUAUAUCUUACAUUGCAUGCUUCUUUUAGAUACAAUGAUCUAAGAAAUCACAUCAAAAAUCCGUAAGUUCAGAUCAAACCAGACAUUUGAAGUGCUUAAGGUAUUUAACUCAAAAUUUAUUGCGCAACACAUGUUUAUUUUCUAGAAAUUGCACUUAAGGAUCAAUUGCAUUUGCUCAGCCUCUAAAGAGUCUUUUUUGUAUUUAAUUAAUUAUGAAGAUGAUUUUAGAAUAAUUAUGUUCUCCAGUUUUCAAAUGAGCAAAUUGCUAUAUUUGUUAGAUUAAAAGAAAGCCCAAAUAGAGCUAACGACCACUAGAAACCCUCUGGAGUUGAAGUUUUAACUACAACUCUUAAAAUGGUUUUCCAAGAUUUGUUUUAUUAAUCAGAAAGAAUAUAGAGAAGCAACCUGUUAUAUAUGUACCUGAAAAUUUCAAACAAUGAAAGUGAAGAAAUUUGGCCAUCUUUUACCAACAACGGCACCCUUUGAACACUGCAGCUAGUUUGAGCAAUUGAGCUCUCUUAAAUACAGUUGCUAGUAAAACAGGAGAUGGAUCGAUCCUCAAGCAAUGAAGACUACUAUAUGUUACUAUUUUUGUCCUAUGGCUGUCAGAAUUGUUUAUUUUCUCCAUUUUAUUUCACAUAAAGGUGCAAAAUUGGAGGUGUUUCAUGCAUCUCUUUUAAAGCGUGAAGCUAAAAACUUCUCGAACGAUCACGCCUUCAAACCUUUUUGCGUCUCCUACUGAUAAAGGCGUGCUUUGGUACCUGUACACUAACGAAGGUCCUCUUGCCUCCACUUUAAAAAUGCGACACACCUGGAAUACAUCAAUACCAUGCCUUUUCUUAAUAAGAUUUUGACACAAAAAUUAGUGGGCAACACCUUUUUAUUAUCAAGAAAAUUACACUUCAAAACAUUUCAAUGAGACAGGCUAAGCCCCAUAGAUCCCCACAUACUUGAUUGGUUCAGAUUUCCUGGGGGGUUUUCUGGUAUCCCACUUUCAGCUCCCAAUUUAUCUCCAAGAUUGCCUAGGAGGCACACAUUUAGCACCAAACUUCCAAGUCAUUAUCUAGCUAUAAAAAUGUGUUGAGCAAAAAAUAUGUCAUCUUGGUCAACAGCAGCUUAAUUAUCCGUACAUAUUGUGCCAGAAUAGAUCACAUUAAACUCACUGAAUCAAAUAAUGAAUGGACCAGCAUUUGACUUUUGAGAUAGUUGGCAUUGCAAUUUCUUGGCUGUGCAAUAGUCAUCCACCUUUGUCUUGUUGAAGGGGAAUUGUACUAGCAACUUAGUUUUGUUAAUGUAACCAUCCUUUUCUCCAAUGCUGCAAAACUGUGUUUAGGUGUUACAAGGGAUAAGUCUGAUGAAGCACAUGAGCAUUUAGCAAAUCAAAGGUAGAUGUAAUUAGACAACUGAAAUGAUGUUAUUUUGAACAACAAAAUCAUCAAAGAUUCUUGUCUAUUAUUAGAGAAGACCAAGGAAAGUAAAGUUGACAGAGACUUGAAAAGGUUUCACAUUAUUCACGGGCAACCACCACAACCUGCUUCCCGACGUUGCGACCUGAGAAGAGUCCUAUCAGGGCGCUUGGGGCAUUCUCAAGGCCUUCAGCUAUGUCUUCCACAUAUGCUAUCUUCCCUUCUUUUAUCUGGGGUAGAACCAUAUCCAGAAAUUUCGGAUAGAGAUGAUAGUAAUCGAACACCAAAAAUCCUUCCAUUUUAAUUCGCUUAGUGAUCAGGCAGAAGAGAUUGUGAAUGCCUUCAUGCUGCUCAAGGUUAUAUUGUGAGAUCAAUCCGCAAACAGCAAUGCGACCGUGGACUCUCAUGUUGAGAAGCACGGCAUCAAGCAUCUUUCCUCCGACAUUCUCAAAGUAAAUGUCAAUGCCAUCUGGAAAGUACCUAAGGGAAAAAAGAUAGAAAGUCAGGAAUGCUGAUUUACUUUGAGCAGUCCAAAGUAAGAAACUGACUGUGACAGAAUCAUCCUCCUCUAAUGCGCCAACAUGACAUGCAAGAAAAGAAUGAAUGCUGGCAAAUUAAGAUCUGCAUUGAAUGUUGAUAACUUGGAGAAGUGUGCUUCGAGCUCAAGGUACACAUGUACCAGGUGACACAUAUACACAGUUCAUUUAAGUGAAUGCCCUGCCACUCAGAACAAACUGCCUUGGGGAGUCAGAAAGUAGAUUUUAAAAUCUAAACUUUUCAGCCAGUAUAUUAGGACUGACCUUUUUAAAGCCGCAUUUAGAUCUUGCUCUUCUUUGUAGUUGAAAGCUUCAUCAAAACCAAACUUGUUCUUCAACAAGUCAACCUUUAAAGAAACAAGAUAAAGCAAGAUGAGAGAAGAAACAAUAGGAAUACAGUGAUAUCAUGUGGCUAGCUUUAAGUACCCUCAGUGUUUGUUCUAACAAACAAAUAUGAAGUAAAAGUUCCUCUUGCAAACAUUAUUCAGGCUAAUCAUGCAAGAUGCCUGGAGUAAGAAGGGUGAAUUUAUUAAUUUUCCCUUUCUUGUUUUUGGUACAACAGAUCAUUAGAUGCUCAAUAGAUGCUAUCUGAAUAUAUGGUGCUUCAUGAAGCAUAGGUACAACUACCACUGGAAUCAGAUAACAGAAGAUCCAAGCAAUCAGUUCUGAGUAGCUUUCACCAAGACUGGCCCAUAAUGACCGUCAACAUUCUUUAUAGAAUUAAAAGGUCGCAAUUUGUACGCAAAGAAAGUCUAUGGAAAGAAAAAGGACUUGACAUUCAGUUUAUCUAGAAGAUACCCACACAAUCUUAUAUGAAUCCAUUUCAACAGAAACAUGAAUAAAGUUCUCACUGAAACUGAUACAAGGUUUCCAAUGAUCUAAACGGCAGCAAACGAAGUGCGGGCUUGCUUUCUUGAACCCAAAAAAGAGGAAAUUUGACCAUGCAGAUGUCUUAAGAGAUUACCUUUUCUUUGGUUCCAGCACUUCCAAUGACAUAACAACCAAAAGCCUUUGCAAACUGUCCAACAAGCUGACCAACAGCUCCAGAAGCUGCUGAAAUGAAUACACGCUCUCCCUUCUUCGGAGAACAAAUCUCAAAAAAACCAGCAUAAGCAGUCAUGCCAGGCAUACCUGUUAGCAAAGCAGAACAAUUGAAGGGGGGGGGGGUCUUAAAAAAUUAGGAGCCAUGAUGGAAAACUGGUAAGGAUAUAACACUGGAAGCAUCAUAGUAAAAGGUUGGGCAGCCACAUUCAGUUGCUUGAGGUAAAUAAAACAUAUUUCUUUAUCCCAUCCUUGAAGAAUGUCCCAGAAAUUCCAAAUAAGGUAACGUUAGAAACACCAGUAAUGGUAAAAACAUAGAAGAUCAGGUCCAGAAAAUUAGCAUCAGGUGGUGGCAAGAGAUACAAGCAUAUGGCAUUGUAGUAGCAUCUAAAUCAGAUGAAGAGGUUCAAGGAAGAAGUCAAACUAUUCAUAAAUAAAAGACUCAAGCAAUUAACUAAUGGACCUAAUUCCUCAUCACUCUCUGAUGGCAGUUCGCUUAAUAGCAGAUCUUACAUCAUGUAAAGCUCACUAUACAUAAAGGAUGUAUAUCCCAUUCCUACCAUAGCAAACAACUGUAAAGUGCUUCAAUCAGACUGCUAAAGCUUAUUAAAGUUCCACACAAAGCUUUUAAAGGUAACAAACAUCAAAUGCUGGAAAUCUCCAAUAAGAAAAGGAAGUAACUUCUAUACUGGUGUACUGUGAUGGAAACCUAAUCAGACAGAGGCACUGACCGAGGAUUCCUGUAUAGUAGGACAGAGGCACAUCAGUGUUGUGAAUUUUAAAGCGAGUCUCAGGAUCAGCAAUUACACUGUAUUCUUCCCAGCGAGUCAAUCCCCACAGCAGAUCACCCUUGCUGAAUUUUGGAUUGUUUGACUCCAAAACUCUAGCCACUCCAAGACCCACUAUAGGCUACAAAGUGAAUCAGUAUCAAGUUAUGAAUUUGACUUGAGUCUACUCAUGAAAAGCAAAACUUCUGCCCCUUCAAUUGCACCAUAAACAACUACAUGUAUUACACCUAUUAUGUUAUAUCCAAAGUCAUGGGACUUAUCUCAAGUAGACAACCAUUUAUGGGACUGCAAUAAGUAACAAUGAACAGAGAAAAAACCAACUUCAAUCUAUUGGUUCUCCAGCCAAAUGAUAAGCAAAGCCACUGUGGAAAACAUAGAAAAAUGUUUCCAAAAUUGAAUUCUUUGACAUGUGUACUGAAAAAGAAAAGCAUAAUCAGGCAACCAGUGAAUGUUCUUUGUGAAAUCACUACACAUUGUCAACAUUACUCUUUGGAGUUAUAAUGCUUUCUACUGUCAUGUAGAGUUAUAAAUCAAAGUGCAUCCUUCUCUUAAAUUAAUACUCUGGAGAUUCCCAAAUAGUUAACUUACUCCAACACUGAACAAACUGUUCUUUGAAUAUAUUUGCUCCAUCAUUUUCCAUGUGAUGCAGAAAACCAUAAAGGCCCACAUGCUCUUGACCACCAGAUUUAUUUUAUCAAAAAAAAAAAAGAAAAAAGAAUGAAAUUCCGGAACAUCUAGGUUUCAAUCUACUUUUGAGUUUCAUUUCUUCACAGAAAGAUGAAUCAAGGUCAACUGCUAACCAGGUCAAACAUAAUUACAUAUUCUAGAUAUACACAUGCAAGUCAGAAUUCUCAUAUGAUCUUAUUUAACUGUACAAAAAUAAAAACUUUUGACUGUUUCAUGACUUCAGAGUCAAGUGAAUACUUCAAAAUCAACCAUAAAAGCGAGCAAGCCGCAGAUGUUCAGAUUAACACCAAUUAAGCAACAUAACAUAAAAUUCACAAAUGAAAAAUUCGAAUUUCCACUCAUGCAGACUAUCUCUACAUAAAAAUUCUUCAUGACGCCUAAAAAAAAAAAAAAAAAAAAAAAAAAGGUCUGGAAAUCCAAAUGUCACUCUAUCUUUAGCACUACAAUUGCAUGUACUGAUUAAACAUCCAUUAACCACUCCAGUUUAAACCAACAAAAAAGAAGAAGAGAGAAACACAAAACGUACACAUGUUCACAGAAACUGACUUACAGAGCCAGGAGUGUAGGCCUCAGCAUAAUGACCUUCAAGCUUGCGCAUGCGGGAUCUCAUAUAAGGAUCACAAGACAAAUACAGAUUCUUCACCAAGAUUGCCGCUGAAUAAUCGCCGCCAUCCGGAAGCUUCAACUUCAAAGCAGUCGUUUUCACCUCCAUAUCACUCUCUUUUGGGAAACCACUGACAUAAUUCUUCAGUAUAACUUGCUUAUUGCUCACUUCUUCCUCUGCCAUUUUCUGAAAUCCUCUCCCCAGAAAGAAAACAACCCUUUUCUUCUCUGAAAUAAAUAUUGGUGGGUUUCUUAUCCCUUUGGAAAUGGAGACUGAAAUCUGCAAUGGGUUGGAAUGUUAUAACAGAUGCAGCGGAACAGAAAGAACAAAACAAGAACAGACAAGAACAACUUGGGGGAAAUCAAAUUUUAUUAGAGUUGUAAUCGGAAUAGUUUACAGACUAAAAAAAGGUGUAUAUAUAUACAACCAAACGGACUGGACCCAAAAAUAGGCUCAAAACAAGACCCGAAAUAAAACAGACACGGUAACUAAUAUAUACCGUAAGCAAAACCCCCGAACAGCUCAGCGAAGGUCGAAGAUCUAAUUCAAGGCAUCUCAACAUGGAAUUAACAGGGGAUUUAUUCAAUAUUAUAUCUUAUUAUAUGGCUUUACUUCUUUCUAGAGCAGGGACACGUAAUGAACCAGUAUGUGGUAUGUCAAAACGGAAAAUACAGCAUUAGAUGUGAUACUAAGUUUGUGAUGAAGGCGUGGAUAGUAUUCAAUCGGAACCAACUAGAAUAUGCGGUUUAAUGCAUUAUCUAUACAUUAGUUGUAAAUUCUACCUUUAGUCUUGUUAAAAGCAGUCUAUAGCAGAGUGGAGAUUAAGGAAAUCACUUUUAGAAGAGCUUUGAGUAGCCAUGGAUAUCGUCGGAAGACUUACGACAAUUCAGCAAGAAAUGCAAAAGGGAGACUUGUAUCUAGGAAACUUUCAUAUAAACAGCAUGUAGUUGCUGAAACUUACGUGCAUGUAGUUGCUGUAUUAAGCAAAGUAAGAUGAGGCGAUGCAUUGCACAUGUUCAUGGCAGCAGCUGAAUUUCUGGAAUAUGAGCAAUCUUGUCCCAUUCUUGGCCUAUCUCUUUCUUGCAUCUGUCCUUGAGACGGGGACAUUCUUCAAUUGUCAAUUUCCUUAAUUUGAUGAGGUGACGCAUUGCCUCAGCAGAAGGCAAAUACAACAGAUUUUGGCAGUCUUCAAUGUGCAGUUCUUCGAGUGAAAGGAUUCUACCCAAGAACUCUGGCAGAGCCACGACCCCGUCAAAAUGCUCUAUCCUUAAAAAGGACAAGUUGGAGAGAUGCUGAAUCUGCUCCGGCAGGGAUGUGACUGCUUGCCAACCAUAUAAUACAAGAGACGCCAACGAGGCAAAAGGAUGUUGGAAUUCUUUGUUUUCAUAAUCGGUAAUAGAAACUCUGCAAGGAUUAAUGGCGUAGCUGGGCCAGGGGAAAUAAUCAAGAUCAUAAGAAAAAUCGCCUAGCACCAAUUCUUGUAGUUGAAUCAUCCUCGACAGAUGAUGCAAAUCCUCUGGUUGAAUAGCAGGGCACUCCAAUAAUCCAAACCGCCUGAUUGAUGUACAGACUUCUAUUCCACUUGGUAGUGAGCGCAAGUUGUUGCAUCCCGCAAGGGUCAGCUGAACUAGAGAUCGUAGGGAAUGAAUAUCUGGAAUGGAAACAAGAUUGGGGCAAGACAUUACUGUUAGAAUCUCAAGAGAUGCCAAUCCUCCCACGUCCUUUGGUAGAUGACUUAAACUAUCGCAAUCUGAAAUCCAUAGUUCUUUAAUGCAUCUAAGGUUGUGCCAAACACCAUCUGGCAGGCUUACCAAUUUGGGACAGAUCUUGGCUCUUAAAAUCUCCAAAGAAGGGAAUAUCUUGACUAAUGAAUGUGAUGAAUCGUGGCACAUCAAACCUGACCACUCUUUCAAACCAGGCAUAUCCUCCAGAAUUAGUUCUUUCAGUGCCGGAAAUGAAACCACAGCAUCCCCUGCUAGGCCACUUGGAUUGCUACUUGCAUCAUCAACAUUUUUCCAACCGAAGAAAUCAGUGCCGAUGCAAAUUACACUUUCCAUUCCAAUUAUGUUGACAAUAUUGAGGUGAGGGAGGUGCCAAAGUGGUGAAAUUUGCUGACACUUGUUGAAGUUCCUCAGCACGAUCUUCACAAGAUUGCGAAAGACCAAAGGAUGGCUUGUGGUCAGCAUCCACGGUG